This 254-nucleotide ribosomal RNA is filed under the name uncultured bacterium. RNAcentral's name for it is "partial 16S ribosomal RNA". It matches the Rfam family "Bacterial small subunit ribosomal RNA", at positions 524 to 776 of the family's 1533-position model. The record is from RNAcentral.
UACAGAGGGUGCUAGCGUUGUUCGGAAUUAUUGGGCGUAAAGGGCGCGUAGGCGGCCAGCACAAGUCAGUUGUGAAAUCUCCGAGCUUAACUCGGAAAGGUCAGCUGAUACUGUGCGGCUAGAGUGCGGAAGGGGCAACUGGAAUUCUUGGUGUAGCGGUGAAAUGCGUAGAUAUCAAGAGGAACACCUGCGGCGAAGGCGGGUUGCUGGGCCGACACUGACGCUGAGGCGCGAAAGCUAGGGGAGCGAACAGG